AGCAGCCGCGGUAAUUCCAGCUCCAAUAGCGUAUAUUAAAGUUGUUGCAGUUAAAAAGCUCGUAGUUGAAUUUCGGGAUUGACGUGAUGGUCAUGCCUUAAGGGGUAUGAACUGUUACUGUUGAUUUCUCACCUUCUGGAGAAACUUGAUGUCCUUUAUUGGGUGUCUUGCGGAUCCAGGACCUUUACCUUGAAAAAUUAGAGUGUUUAAAGCAGGCAUUUUUGCUCGAAUACAUUAGCAUGGAAUAAUAGAAUAGGACGGCAUGGUUCUAUUUUGUUGGUUUCUAGGAUCACCGUAAUGAUUAAUAGGGAUAGUUGGGGGCAUUAGUAUUCAAUUGUCAGAGGUGAAAUUCUUGGAUUUAUUGAAGACUAACUACUGCGAAAGCAUUUGCCAAGGAUGUUUUCAUUAAUCAAGAACGAAAGUUAGGGGAUCGAAGACGAUCAGAUACCGUCGUAGUCUUAACCAUAAACUAUGCCGACUAGGAAUCAGACGACGUUAAUUUUUA
Molecule: ribosomal RNA, 505 nt
Filed under: uncultured Entrophospora
Lineage: Eukaryota; Fungi; Glomeromycota; Glomeromycetes; Entrophosporales; Entrophosporaceae
Description: SSU rRNA
Rfam family: Eukaryotic small subunit ribosomal RNA
Source: RNAcentral